This 478-nucleotide ribosomal RNA is filed under the name uncultured bacterium. Its description in RNAcentral is "partial 16S ribosomal RNA". It matches the Rfam family "Bacterial small subunit ribosomal RNA", at positions 28 to 507 of the family's 1533-position model. The record is from RNAcentral.
GAUGAACGCUCGCGGCAGGCCUAACACAUGCAAGUCGAGGGAGAAGCCCUUUCGGGGGCGGAGACCGGCGCACGGGUACGUAACGCGUAUGCAACCUACCUUUCACCGGGGGAUAGCCCGAAGAACUUUGAAUUAAUACCCCAUCCUAUUAGUGGAUGGCAUCAUUUGAUAAUGAAAACUGCGUUGGGGCAAGAUGGGCAUGCGUCCUAUUAGCUAGUUGGAGUGGUAACGGCACCCCAAGCCUACGCUAGGUAGGGUUCCUGAGAGGGAGAUCCCUCACAGGGGUACUGAGACAGGUACCACACUCCUACGGGCGGCAGCAGUGAGGAAGAUUGGUCAAUGGUCGGAAGACUGAACCAGCCAUGCCGCGUGCAGGAAGAAUGCCUUAUGGGUUGUAAACUGCGUUUAUAUGGGAAGAAUAAGGCGUACGUGUACGUUGAUGACGGUACUAUAUGAAUAAGCAUCGGCUAACUCCGUG